RNAcentral lists this unclassified non-coding RNA (400 nucleotides) under Eucalyptus dolorosa. RNAcentral's name for it is "partial external transcribed spacer". The record is from RNAcentral. Lineage: Eukaryota; Viridiplantae; Streptophyta; Magnoliopsida; Myrtales; Myrtaceae.
UGCAUCGAACUGCUUCCCUCACUUUCGAUCAGUUGUUGCUCCACGAGAUAAACGUUGGACGCAAGACAUGGGUUCCUGUGUUGCAUACCUAUUGCGACGGAAAUGUGUGCCUUCGAUCGUCCCUUCCAUCACGGCGUCCUCACGGAUGCUCGGUUGGACCGGAUAGUGGGGCUCGUGUUCCACGAACGUCGUCUCAUUCGAUCGUUCGGAUGGACCACGGGUGCCUACUCGUUCUCUCGGAUGCGGAACUCUCUUAAUGGGUGUGGGGUCAUUGGCCCUCGGUCCCUAAUCGUUAAGCGUUUAUCGCUUCACCGGAAUGACGAUCUCGCCUUGUCCUUGACCACGCGAAGCCCUCGGGCAUCGCGAUGGAUCAUGCUCGGCGGACGUCGUGAAGGAAUGC